RNAcentral lists this ribosomal RNA (497 nucleotides) under uncultured bacterium. Its description in RNAcentral is "partial 16S ribosomal RNA". It matches the Rfam family "Bacterial small subunit ribosomal RNA", at positions 28 to 507 of the family's 1533-position model. The record is from RNAcentral.
GAUGAACGCUGGCGGCGUGCUUAAUACAUGCAAGUCGAGCGAAAAGACGAUGAGUUUGCUCCUCUGACGUUAGCGGCGGACGGGUGAGUAACACGUGUAUAACCUACCUAUAUGACUGGGAUAAUCUCGGGAAACCGGAGCUAAUACCGGAUAACAUGCUGAACCGCAUGGUUCAACAGAGAAAGACGGUCUUGCUGUCACUUCUAGCUGGAUCUGCGCCGCAUUAGCUAGUUGGUAGGGUAACGGCCUACCACGGCGACGAUGCGUAGCCGACCUGAGAGAGUGAUCGGCGACACUGGAACUGGACCACGGUCCAGACUCCUGCGAGAGGCAGCAGUAGGCAAUCUGCGGCAGUAGGCGAGAACCUGACGGAGCGAGGCGACGUGUGUGAAAGCGGUCUUCGGAUCGUAAAACUCUGUUAUUGGGGAAAAACAGAUGUGUAAGUUACUAUACACGGCUUGACGGUAACGAAUCAGGAAGCCACGGCUAACUACGUG